Molecule: ribosomal RNA, 475 nt
Filed under: uncultured bacterium
Lineage: Bacteria
Description: bacterial SSU rRNA
Rfam family: Bacterial small subunit ribosomal RNA
Source: RNAcentral
UAUCUGCAGAAUUUUCCCUUAGAGUUUGAUCCUGGCUCAGGGUUAACGCUGGCGGCGCGCAUAACACAUGCUAGUCGAGCGAGGGCUUAUCUCCCGCAAGGGAGGCAAGUUCCUAGCGGCGAACGGGUGAGUAACACGUGGGCAACCUUUCCUAUCGCGGGGGAUAACACCGGGAAACCGAUGCUAAUACCGCAUGUCGUCACCGGUCGCAUGGCCGGUGAAGAAAGCAGCAAUGCACGAUGGGGUGGGCCCGCGGCCUAUCAGCUAGUCGGUGGGGUAACGGCCUACCGAGGCGAUGACGGGUAGCUGGUCUGAGAGGACGACCAGCCACACGGGGACUGAGACACGGCCCCGACUCCUACGGGAGGCAGCAGUGAGGAAUCUUCCGCAAUGGGCGAAAGCCUGACGGAGCGACGCCGCGUGUGGGAUGAAGUCUUUCGGGAUGUAAACCACUGUCGGAGGGGAAGACAUCGAC